AGGAUUCUCUUAGUAACGGCGAGUGAACAGAGAAGAGCCCAGCACCGAAGCCUAUUCGCGUUUGUGAACAAGGCAAUGUGGUGUUACGGUGUGUGCCUGGGGUCGUCGGUUUAUUCGAAGUCCAGCGUAGAUUAUGGCUCUGGAUGUUGCCCAAAGCGGGUGAAAGGCCCGUACGGAUAAACCUUCAAGCAUGUUUGACGACCUUUCAGUUGCACGUACCUUGGAGUCGGAUAGCUUGAGAGUGCUGUCCAAAGUGGGUGGUAAACUCCAUCUAAGGCUAAAUAUUCACACGAAUCCGAUAGUAGACAAGUACCGUGAGGGAAAGUUGAAAAGUACUCUGAAGAGAGAGUAAAUAGUACGUGAAGCCGCUUGUAAGGAAGCUGGUGGAGUCAAGCUGCAUGCUCUUAGAAUUUAGCCAGUGAUUAUGAUUGUGUGGUGCAAGAUGAGCGACUGGUGGCUUUGUAAUGAGGCCGAUGAACUUGUUCAUCCCGUGUGCUGACCGGUUUGUUUGUGCGGUCCGGUUGCUCUAUUCUUGAUUCGCUGGUGUACUUUCUUUGUAGCAGACAUCACUGUUGGUAUUGCUGCCGGCAUAUUCUGGUAGUCAAACCAUUGGGUUGUGGCAUCUAUGUCAUGCCUGAUGGGAAGGCAGGUGGUUCGUGUGGUGCACUUGUGUGCCGCAUGGAUUUAUUGUGGUUGUGGCCAGCCGAUUACCAAUGUCAAGCAUUUAGCCGUGCAUGUGUACCGUUGCUCUGCAACAGCUCGUGGUCUCGCUGUUCAUUCUUGCCGUGGCUAGGUUUCGUUUCUGCUCAAGCAGUGCGGAGUCUGGUUGUGGUAAGGGUGAGCGUGUGAACUGUGGGCAGUAUAAUAGUGGGUGUAGUGGUAGA
Molecule: ribosomal RNA, 884 nt
Filed under: Calydiscoides indianus
Lineage: Eukaryota; Metazoa; Platyhelminthes; Monogenea; Dactylogyridea; Diplectanidae
Description: eukaryotic LSU rRNA
Rfam family: Eukaryotic large subunit ribosomal RNA
Source: RNAcentral